AAAUAAUGUCUCUUGUACUGGAGACAAAUUACCUUUUUCCCUCAUUACUUUUACUUCACUUUGAGACCGUGAAGGCUCUGGAGAAGGAAAGGCAUUUUUGUUUUCAAACUCUGUGGUUACAUUGGGAUAUUCUCCAGAAACGAUUGAUUAGAACAUUUGAAAAAACAUUACCAUCUUGGAUAUAAUUCUUCUCAGAAGAAGAGAAGAUCAAGCACUGAAAAGUUAUGGCAAUUCAACUCGAAUUUGGACUUUAAAACUUCUUUGAAAAUGUUUAAUCCUGUGUU
This is a long non-coding RNA of Nothoprocta perdicaria, 284 nucleotides long. RefSeq lists it as uncharacterized. NCBI's taxonomy places the organism in Eukaryota, Metazoa, Chordata, Aves, Tinamiformes, Tinamidae. The transcript has 2 exons. The record is from RefSeq and is a predicted model, not a curated record.